GUUUAUUUUAUUUUUUUUUGGCAAAAUCAUCAGUAGGAAUUAGCAUAACCAUACAAUUGCACACUGCUAAAAUAAAAUAAAAUAAACAAGGAACAAAGGGAACAUUUUGGUUACUGCCCAAUCCGUUCACAAAAACAACAGAGGCAGGUUCUCUCCAAUGCUCUUAUUCCAUAAACUGCUCCUAAUAACUAACAUGGACAUUACACUAAAAACAACAAAAAUGGUUUACAUCUCACUAUCUGAAAAUGAUAUGAAGGUUGAGGUUUCAAUGCUAACCCCUCUUAUAUUGCUGCGAAGAACUCCUUGCUCAGCUUGGGGUCUGGCUUCAUUGACCUCUCUCCAGGCUUCCAGCCUGCUGGGCAAACUUCAUCUGGAUUUUC
Molecule: unclassified non-coding RNA, 380 nt
Filed under: Hevea brasiliensis (rubber tree)
Lineage: Eukaryota; Viridiplantae; Streptophyta; Magnoliopsida; Malpighiales; Euphorbiaceae
Source: RNAcentral